This 1988-nucleotide long non-coding RNA is filed under the name Bemisia tabaci. RNAcentral describes it as "lncRNA ENSSSA1NGG006834". The record is from RNAcentral. Lineage: Eukaryota; Metazoa; Arthropoda; Insecta; Hemiptera; Aleyrodidae.
UUCCAGUGAUGGUGCAGAUUUUGUGAUAAUCGCCAGCUGAUCAUUAAGUAUGUGCCUGGAACCUGGAGUUUUUCUGCUCACUGUGGAAGCAAGUGAAAACUACUGCUUUGACUUGGAAUUUUCUGGAGGAAAAGGAAAAGGCUUCCGAUGGAAAAGCAAUUAUUAUCUCCUUAGAAAACUCGACCACACUCGCAUUAGACCCGGCCUCAGGCGGAGAUUUGGAGACCAGGGACUGGGAGUCGGACGACGGGUGCCUCAGGACACUUUACACCAAGUGGUACAGGAGCAGAGCGGAAUAUAAGAAGCGACAUGACCCUACGCAUUCGCCGGAGCAUACUGAGCCGAUAAGAAUCGAGCCAGUUUACAGCAACGAUAGAACGAAAAUCCUCCGCUAUCGGUAUAUCUACCCACCACGUCCAGAAGACAAGCAUGAGGAGCGCAUAAAGAAGGCGCAGGGCUGUCUGCAUGCUGUUAAACCGCUCCUGCACUUCUGUUGCUGUUGCUGCGCAGCGCAUUGGUGCGACUGAUCGUUCGAUUGAUGUUGAAUCAGUCAUUCUUCAAAAGUCUUAAGGCCUGCAUAGACGAUCAAAUUCCCAACCGAUUCCGAUCAAAGUAGACACGCUGAUGACUGGUGGUCACCAUCUACCAUCAAAUUUUGACGGGCCGCACUUUUUUGUUCAAAGUAAGAUCAGACCGGAGUGCCAUCAUUCAUCAUUUCCUGCCACAGGAAACAUUUCUGUCAAGUUUUCAUUUUAAAAUGAAGCAAAUUAAUGAGUUCAAGACUGAUGACUCCCGACACUUUGAUGCUACUUUGAUCGGAAUUGGUUCGGGAAUUUGAUCGUCUAUCCAGGGCUUUAAGGAAACGGUCAUACGCUACGCUGCCGUGCAACGCAAGAAAGCCGUAAACGCCAUUUUACAUUUUCGAAAAGAAUGUAUCAUAGCAAAAAAACUUGUCUACCUUGGGACAAUGUUUUUAGAGAAUUCUUUCGCAAAUAAUAUCAAGAACUUAACCUGACAAUUUGAGGUGCAUGGGUAAAACAGUUUUUAUUUUAGAAAGUGUUAAGUCCCAAGAAACGAGGGAAAAUCUUGAUGGAUUUACGGUGUUCUUGCUUAGCACGAUAGUACGUAACACUCUUCUCGACCCCCCUCGUCCCCUGGGGUGUUAUGUAAUUAAUGAACGCCUCUUACGAGGAAAAGCGCUCGAAAAUUCGGAUACCGAGAAAAAUGUCUAAAACCAGGCAAAUCUUAAAUGACGUCAUCAACGGCUCUAAUCAGCGGGCCGAUUAUUGAAAUUGAUCGAAAAAGCUAUAGACAAAGGAGAUAAAAGAGGUAUGGAGAGAUCCUAUUGGUGGAAGCGGGUGGUUGCAAUGGACAAAGGAGGUAGGUAAUAGACUAACUAACGGCAACUCACGAGAAACCCGACAGUUAGUCUAUCAUUUUUUCCCUUUGUCGAUUGGAACCACCCAUUUCAACCAAUAGGAUCGCUUUAUAAUCCCUAUGUCUUCUUUGUCUAUAGCUUUGUCCAUCAAUUUCAACAAUCAGUCCGCAGUUGCUGCUAUCAGUAGCCUUUAUCUGUCGCUCUUAUCUGUCGGUUCACAGAUUCAAAGAGCUCUUCCCCCUUCCAGGAAGUAAAGAAAGAUUCAUUCCUUUAUACAUAUAUGAUUUGUUUUUGCUUUUAAGCCGGCUAAUUAUAAAUAUAAUAACCAUAAAAAACCCAUUUUAGAUUAAUUUUAAUAGGUGCAUACAACUUUGUAGCUUUAAGCUUAAUGUAUUGCCAAGCAUAGAAUACUUUUAUUUGCAUGGAUUGCUUAUGCUUGCCGUAGAAUUUUUAGUUAUUGUUAAGUGUUCACAUUAGGAAUUUUGAAUCAUGACUUUAAUUUUUAAACACGUUCAUCGACAAUGAAGAAGGCAUGAUUGCAUCUUGCCGACAUGUUUGUCAUUAGAAAUGCGAGUAAUUUGUGAUAAAUAAAAUAUUAAAAAAAAAUUCA